This 287-nucleotide ribosomal RNA is filed under the name Pseudomonas sp. H9. RNAcentral's name for it is "partial 16S ribosomal RNA". It matches the Rfam family "Bacterial small subunit ribosomal RNA", at positions 1 to 290 of the family's 1533-position model. Lineage: Bacteria; Pseudomonadati; Pseudomonadota; Gammaproteobacteria; Pseudomonadales; Pseudomonadaceae. The record is from RNAcentral.
GAACUGAAGAGUUUGAUCAUGGCUCAGAUUGAACGCUGGCGGCAGGCCUAACACAUGCAAGUCGAGCGGAUGAGAAGAGCUUGCUCUUUGAUUCAGCGGCGGACGGGUGAGUAAUGCCUAGGAAUCUGCCUGGUAGUGGGGGACAACGUUUCGAAAGGAACGCUAAUACCGCAUACGUCCUACGGGAGAAAGCAGGGGACCUUCGGGCCUUGCGCUAUCAGAUGAGCCUAGGUCGGAUUAGCUAGUUGGUGAGGUAAUGGCUCACCAAGGCGACGAUCCGUAACUGG